GCUGGAGAGUGAUGAACACCAUCGAGGGAGAGGCCAGGCAUGCCCUGGGGUCACACUAAUUUUCGGGUCCAGGGGUCAGAACCGGAAGGGUUUUCCCAUGAUCACCAUCAGAAGCGCCCUGCUGUGCAAGUUGCCAGUCAUGGAAAAAGAAGUCCACUGGGGCUGUUUCUAAAGCUGCCGCUGGAACCCAAACUAUCUCCAUCGCAGCCAGUCCAGAGGAAAUCUACUUAUCUCCCAAGAACUCAAGAGCAGAAAACACUCCAGGGCCCAGGGGGCUUGUCUUCUGAUGGAGACUUGCGCCUCAACUGGGUCAUGAAGCCCAGGCCUGUGAUCCCAACAGGGCAAGGAUCUAAGGGAAAACCACCGGGCUUCCACUUGCCUACCUUCCCACAGCAGGUCCAGCAGAAGCAGGAGAGGCUGAAGUCCAAGGUGUUUCCAUUCUGGGAACAUGCUAACAGUGUCCAGAGUGGAAAAACGGGCCCUGCAGUCCCCAAGACAGAGACCCGGGCCACUAAUGAGAGAGAAAAUUCCCAGUGGAGCACAGGCUGGGGAACAAAGAACUUCUCAAGCCCAGGCCUGGGAGAGUUACACCCCACCAAGCCCAAAAUCUCAUGGGAACCAAAAGAGGCCAAUAGUACUUCUCAUCUACAACACUCAUCCUCACUUCCCUUCCUAAGAGGCAGUACUUCUGGCACCGGCCGUGACUCACCCUGCUAUUGUUCCAUUUGCUUUCCUUCUCCAGUUUUUGGGAAUCUUGUGAAGGUUGUGCCAAUGAAGAAGACCCCAGUGAAUACCCCAACUGCCAAUCAGAAUACAUCCACUAUGGCCAAGAAUUCCCAAGUGCUAAAGAAUAAUAAUAAGCAAACUGUGAAGCUUAAAUCAGCUCUUAUUACCAGCUGCUCAGAUGGUACACCAGGGUCCCAGAGACGGUUCCAUCCAUUUCGGGUUCGCUUUGAAGAUGAAAGUCCCAAGGAUAUGGCACUCCGAUACUGGGAGAGGAACUAUGAGGUUCAGAAAAGCCUUCACAAGAGCACAGUCGCAUGUCAGUCCCCAGAACAGAUGCCAGGAAAACCAGGAAUAUGGAUGGAUGGAGUUUCAAGGAGUGGACCUCAGCAGACAAACUUGUGGCAAGAUGAAUCCCUUUGUGAUACCAGAAGGAACAUCUUACCCACGUCAUUCCAGGGCUUGUCUGCUGAUAACCUAAAGAAGACGACCAAUUACAGCGCUGUGUUUUCUAGUCCACUGGCCACCGUCGACUUCUCUGACACCAAGCCGUUCCAGGACCUGAUCACGGAUCACCCGAAGAAGAGUUCCACCUGCAGCAAUCCCUACUCCAGCCCCCUGAGCAGCAUUGAUUUCUCUGGUACCAGCCCCAUCCAGGACCUGCCUGCCGAUACUAUGAAGAAGGAUCUGUCUAGCGAUCUCUCUACACACACCUCCUUGUUCUCCAGCCCAGCAACCACCAUUGACAGGUCAAAAAGCCGAUCCUUCAAUAAUAGGACCACUCCUGCGAGAGAAAACUCUCCUUCUUUGUGGGUUCCCAGAAUGGACUCCUAUGGACCUCACUGGAAGUUGUCAAACAGCUGGAGGGGAGGACAACCAACAGUUUACCCAAUCUUCCCUUCACUUACCCAGAUCCGGGCUCAAAGGUCUGAAAGUCCCAAGUGGCUCCUGAACAACAAGGCAACAUGGUAAUAUG
This is a long non-coding RNA of Monodelphis domestica (gray short-tailed opossum), 1699 nucleotides long. NCBI's taxonomy places the organism in Eukaryota, Metazoa, Chordata, Mammalia, Didelphimorphia, Didelphidae. The record is from Ensembl.